Molecule: transfer RNA, 82 nt
Filed under: Methanobacteriota archaeon
Lineage: Archaea; Methanobacteriati; Methanobacteriota
Description: Euryarchaeota archaeon tRNA-Met
Source: RNAcentral
AGCGGGGUGGGGUAGCCAGGAUAUCCCGUCGGGCUCAUAACCCGGAGAUCGAUGGUUCAAAAGGGCAGGCAGGACCUCCCUG